UUUCCGUAGGUGAACCUGCGGAAGGAUCAUUACUGAGCGCGAGACCUAGCCGUGGCAUCUGCUGCGCACUGGGUCGACCCCUCCACCCGUGUUGACUUUAUAUCUUGUUGCUUUGGCGGGCCGGGCCUGCACCGGGCGCACCAGUCACCGGCGUCAAGCCAGUGUCCGCGUGUGAUGCAGCCCCAUCGGCUUCGGCUGGAGCGUGUCCGCCAGAGACUCAACCCAAACUCAGUUAUGUUAAUGUGUCGUCUAGGAAAAAGUACAGAUUUAUGAAAUUGAAUAAAACUUUCAACAACGGAUCUCUUGGCUCUGGCAUCGAUGAAGAACGCAGC
Molecule: unclassified non-coding RNA, 332 nt
Filed under: uncultured fungus
Lineage: Eukaryota; Fungi
Description: sequence contains ITS1, 5.8S rRNA gene
Rfam family: 5.8S ribosomal RNA (bases 284-332)
Source: RNAcentral